This 756-nucleotide long non-coding RNA is filed under the name Equus caballus (horse). RNAcentral describes it as "lncRNA (ENSECAG00000055571.1)". Lineage: Eukaryota; Metazoa; Chordata; Mammalia; Perissodactyla; Equidae. The record is from RNAcentral.
GUGUUCUCAGAGUAGGAGGACUCGUCCACGGGAAAACAGACUCUCUUCUACUGUGUGUGGUCCUCCACUUGUCCCGGUCAGGCACAUUGUGGUCUGGAAAGGCAGAUGGGAAAUAAAUUAGGGGAACAGCAACUUUUCAGAGAAGGCCAGCGAAACUAGCGUGCUGUGUGCUUCAAACAUUCGUGUCGGCUGCCUGCAUGAAAGUCAAAGUCAUUCAAAGCGAAAGUAUCAUUAUCAGGGAAAAGUGCCCAUGAGCAUGGAGCCUGAGGGACAAGCUUCCUCCUAAUUUUUAAAGAACAUGAGACACAAGCAAGCAGAUUUUGUGUCUUAGGACUUGGCAAGGCUUGGCCCCUAGGAUUUACUUCAUCAUCAGGACAGCAGGGCAAGACUCAGGGCACUGGACCAGAGGUGACGGAAGGACACCACUCUCUCAAAGACCCUGCAAUGGUUGUGCCCCACUGCAUCAUUUUCUCCAGCAGACAUUACUGGAGAGUCCCAGCGAUGUACCCAGAGAGCAGGCGAAACCCCCGCUGGAGCCGUGAGCAGACCCCAGGGUGGCAUAAAUAUCGCCUUUUCCUUUGCGUUCUCCGCCUUUCCUGUUUACUUGUAGCUUUCAAGCCUCUCUCCUCCACUUAGCAUGGAAGCUGAAGUUAUUGCAUUGCUGUUUCACAGCCAAGGAAUUAGAUUUAUAACAAGGUUUAUAUGGGAAACAAGCUCCUUAAGUACCAGGCUGAGCCGUUCCACACUAUAAUCGAG